Molecule: ribosomal RNA, 433 nt
Filed under: uncultured bacterium
Lineage: Bacteria
Description: partial 16S ribosomal RNA
Rfam family: Bacterial small subunit ribosomal RNA
Source: RNAcentral
AACGAACGCUGGCGGCAUGUCUAACACAUGCAAGUCGAACGAGACCUUCGGGUCUAGUGGCGCACGGGUGCGUAACGCGUGGGAACCUGCCCUUAGGUUCGGAAUAACUCCCCGAAAGGGGUGCUAAUACCGGAUAAUGUCUUCGGACCAAAGAUUUAUCGCCUUUGGAUGGGCCCGCGUUGGAUUAGCUAGUUGGUAGGGUAAAAGCCUACCAAGGCGACGAUCCAUAGCUGGUCUGAGAGGAUGAUCAGCCACACUGGGACUGAGACACGGCCCAGACUCCUACGGGAGGCAGCAGUGGGGAAUAUUGGACAAUGGGCGAAAGCCUGAUCCAGCAAUGCCGCGUGAGUGAUGAAGGCCUUAGGGUUGUAAAGCUCUUUUACCCGGGAUGAUAAUGACAAUACCGGGAGAAUAAGCUCCGGCUAACUCCGUG